GAUGAACGCUGGCGGCGUGCCUAACACAUGCAAGUCGAGCGGCAGCGAGGGGUGCUUGCACCCUGUCAGCGAGCGGCGGACGGCUGAGUAACGCGUGGGAACGUGCCCCAAAGUGAGGAAUAACUGCCCGAAAGGGUAGCUAAUACCGCAUAUUAUCUUCGGAUCAAAGGAUUUAUCCGCUUUGGGAGCGGCUCGCGUCGGAUUAGGUAGUUGGUGAGGUAAUGGCUCACCAAGCCGACGAUCCGUAGCUGGUCUGAGAGGAUGACCAGCCAGACUGGAACUGAGACACGGUCCAGACUCCUACGGGAGGCAGCAGUGAGGAAUCUUCCACAAUGGGCGAAAGCCUGAUGGAGCAACGCCGCGUGCAGGACGAAGGCCUUCGGGUUGUAAACUGCUUUUAUAAGUGAGGAAUAUGACGGUAACUUAUGAAUAAGGAUCGGCUAACUACGUG
RNAcentral lists this ribosomal RNA (451 nucleotides) under uncultured bacterium. RNAcentral's name for it is "partial 16S ribosomal RNA". It matches the Rfam family "Bacterial small subunit ribosomal RNA", at positions 28 to 507 of the family's 1533-position model. The record is from RNAcentral.